GUCACAUUGUAGAUGAGCAAGGUAUUAGACCAGACAGCAAGAAAAUAGAUGCCAUACUAACCAUCAAGCCACCGCAAAACACCACGGAGCUCAAACAUGUGCUAGGUAUGGCGCAUACCUAGCACAUGGACGUUACUUACCUAACUUAGCAGAUGUAACUUGUCAUGAUCUGUGUUUUUGUUUCUAGUUGUAUCAUGUUUCACGCCAUGUCCUGUGUAACACUACUUCCUGUUUUAUUUUGGUAGUCUCCUGGUUUCUGUUCCUGCUUUAGCUUUACUUCCGGUUUUUGUCUUGUCACAGCUGUCCCUGCUCCACCUGAUCGUUAUCCUCACCUGCACUGUAUCAGUUAAUUACUCAUCUGUGUAUUUAGUCACCUCCUGUUCCCGUAGUCACUUGCCAGAUUGUUGAGUUGAGAAUGUGUUGAGCGUCCCUAGUUUCCUGAGUUCCCUGAGUGUUCGUGUUCUCGUGUCUUAUUCCUGUUCGCACCGUGUAUCCUGCCCGACACUGGAUUAUCUACUGACCGUGAGUUUUUGCCUGUUCCCUGCCUGUACUUUUGCCGAGCCUUUUUGUGUUUGACCUGGACCGUAUGACCCUGCCUUGAGCAAUAAACCUUUUGUUGAUUAUAACCUUCGCCUCCGUGCUGUGCAUGUGGGUCCGCCGCCAGCCCGAGUCCCUGACAGAACAAUCUGGCCAAACUUGGACCCAGCCAGCACUUAGCCUCCGGUCAGGUCAGUGACUGUUUUUUUCCUUGUUUUUACGGCGAAUAUACUCUCCCGCGGAAGUAUGAAGUUUGACGAAUUAAGCGACGCGCGCUGCACCACGCCGGCGCCGGUCGCACCGCCGAUGGUUUCGGUUUCCUCCUCUCCGCCUCGUCGGAUCGUCGUGCCUGCACCAACCUGCCCAGCUCCAUGGUUGUUCCCCUGGGAGGAUUUCCUGCUCUCACGCGGUCCUCAGUCUCCAGUCCAACCGCGCGCUGCUCAGUCUCCAGUUCAGCCGCGCGCUGCUCAGUCUCCAGUUCAGCCGCGCGCUGCUCAGUCUCCAGGUCAGCCGCGCGCUGCUCAGUCUCCAGGUCAGCCGCGCGCUGCUCAGCCUCCAGUUCAGCCGCGCGCUGCUCAGUCUCCAGUUCAGCCGCGCGUUGCCCAGACCCCAGUUCAGUCGUGUUUUCCCCAGUCUCCAGCCCAAGCUCCAGACGCCGCGGUCCCGUUUCACCAUGCGGGUCCCGGUACAGAGGUCCGGUCCACACCGCGCCCAGCGCCUCAAACGACGGACAGUCGCAGCUGCUCCGGACGGCGACGGCGGCGGCGCGGUUCCAGGAUUCCGGGUCCCGCGGUCUCGGUCAUGGGGACCGAGCCGUCUCCUUCUCCGACAGAGGAGCCCCUUGAUUCUCUGACUGACUGUGUCCCUCUGAUAUCAGGCAUCCCAGACAGCGUCGCCCGACGGGUCCACCUCCUCUGCUCUCCUCCAGUUGCGUUUCUCUUCGCCCACCUCAUGAACACCGCCGAUUCGGCAGCAGACCAGGGCGCGAGAGAACAACUGUUCACGGAAGCAGCCGCUCUCGUCCUGAGGGAGCCUGUCCUGCGUGAGGCCCUGCAACUCCCGGGCCUGCAGCCAGCGGCCGCUUCAUGUCCCACCUCUCAGUCAGUUCAGCCUCGCCAUGCUCAUGCCCUGGUGCAGCCCUGUCGCCUCCAGGUCCCAGCCCAGUCGAACCUAGUCCAGACCCCAGAUCAGCCGUGUGUUGCCCAGACCCCAGAUCAGCCGUGUGUCGCCCAGACCCCAGAUCAGCCGUGUGUCGCCCAGACCCCAGAUCAGCCGUGUGUCGCCCAGACCCCAGAUCAGUCGUGUGUCGCCCAGACCCCAGAUCAGUCGUGUGUCGCCCAGACCCCAGAUCAGUCCUGUGUUGCCCAGACCCCAGAUCAGUCGUGUGUUGCCCAGACCCCAGUUCAGUCGUGUGUUGCCCAGACCCCAGUUCCGUCCUUGUCCCCGUCAGAGGGCACCGUCCGUCUGACGGCUGUUAGCCCCACCCAAUCAGGCCCGACGUCUCCCCCGUCGAGCUCGGCAGCUGUAAGCUGUCAUGCCAGCUCCGGAGGGGACGCCGUUCCAGUCCCUGUCGGCCAUGUUGCGGCCGUUCCAGUCCCGGUCGGCCAUGUUGCGGCCGUUCCAGUUCCUGUCGGCCAUGUUGAGGUCGUUCCAGUUCUUGUCGGCCAUGUUGAGGUCGUUCCAGUUCCUGUCGGCCAUGUUGAGGUCGUUCCAGUUCCUGUCGGCCAUGUUGAGGUCGUUCCAGUUCCUGUCGGCCAUGUUGAGGUCGUUCCAGUUCCUGUCGGCCAUGUUGAGGUCGUUCCAGUUCCUGUCGGCCAUGUUGAGGUCGUUCCAGUUCCUGUUCCUGUCGGCCAUGUUGAGGUCAUUCCAGUUCCUGUCCCUGUCGACCAAAUUGAGGUCGUUCCAGUUCCUGUCCCUGUCGACCAAGUUAAGGUCGUUCCAGUUCCUGUCCCUGUCGGCCAAGUUGAGGUCGUUCCCGUUCCUGUCCCUGUCGGCCCAGUUGAGGUCGUUCCAGUUCCUGUCCCUGUCGGCCAAGUUGAGGGCGUUCCCGUCGGCCAAGUUGAGGGCGUUCCCGUAGGCCAAGUUGAGGGCGUUCCCGUAGGCCAAGUUGAGGGCGUUCCCGUAGGCCAAGUUGAGGGCGUUCCCGUAGGCCAAGUUGAGGGCGUUCCCGUAGGCCAAGUAGAGGUCACCCCUGUCUCUGAUCCCGUUCCCGUCGGCCCUGUAGCGGUCGUUCCAGUCCCCGUUCCUGUCGGCCCUGUAGCGGUCGUUCCAGCCCCCGUUCCUGUCGGCCCUGUAGCGGUCGUUCCAGCCCCCGUUCCUGUCGGCCCUGUAGCGGUCGUUCCAGCCCCCGUUCCUGUCGGCCCUGUAGCGGUCGUUCCAGCCCCCGUUCCUGUCGGCCCUGUAGCGGUCGUUCCAGUCCCCGUUCCUGUCGGCCCUGUAGCGGUCGUUCCAGUCCCCGUCAUCCUUGGAGCCGCAGCUCCUGCGCACCUCCAGGAGGAGGUCGCGCCAGCCGCAGUUCCUGCGCACCUCCAGGAGGAGGUCGCGCCAGCCGCAGCAGUUCCUGCGCACCUCCAGGAGGAGGUCGCGCCAGCCGCAGUUCCUGCGCACCUCCAGGAGGAGGUCGCGCCAGCCGCAGUUCCUGCGCACCUCCAGGAGGAGGUCGCGCCAGCCGCAGUUCCUGCGCACCUCCAGGAGGAGGUCGCGCCAGCCGCAGUUCCUGCGCACCUCCAGGAGGAGGUCGCGCCAGCCGCAGUUCCUGCGCACCUCCAGGAGGAGGUCGCGCCAGCCGCAGUUCCUGCGCACCUCCAGGAGGAGGCCGCGCCAGUUGCAGUUCCUGCGCACCUCCAGGAGGAGGUCGCGCCAGCCGCAGUUCCUGCGCACCUCCAGGAGGAGGUCGCGCCAGCCGCAGUUCCUGCGCACCUCCAGGAGGAGGUCGCGCCAGCCGCAGUUCCUGCGCACCUCCAGGAGGAGGUCGCGCCAGCCGCAGUUCCUGCGCACCUCCAGGAGGAGGUCGCGCCAGCCGCAGUUCCUGCGCACCUCCAGGAGGAGGUCGCGCCAGCCGCAGUUCCUGCGCACCUCCAGGAGGAGGUCGCGCCAGCCGCAGUUCCUGCGCACCUCCAGGAGGAGGUCGCGCCAGCCGCAGUUCCUGCGCACCUCCAGGAGGAGGUCGCGCCAGCCGCAGUUUCUGCGCACCUCCAGGAGGAGGUCGCGCCAGCCGCAGUUUCUGCGCACCUCCAGGAGGAGGUCGCGCCAGCCGCAGUUUCUGCGCACCUCCAGGAGGGGGUCGCGCCCGUCGCAUCCCCGGCGGACCUCCAGGAGGAGGUCGCGCCCGUCGCAGUCCCGGCGGACCUCCAGGAGGGGGUCGCGCCCGUCGCAGUCCCUGCCGACCUCCAGGAGGGGGUCGCUCCCGUCGCAGUUCCUGCCGACCUCCAGGAGGGGGUCGCUCCCGUCGCAGUUCCUGCCGACCUCCAGGAGGGGGUCGCUCCCGUCGUAGUUCCUGCCGACCUCCAGGAGGGGGUCGCUCCCGUCGUAGUUCCUGUCGACCUCCAGGAGGGGGUCGCUCCCGUCGUGGUUCCUGCCGACCUCCAGGAGGGGGUCGCUCCCGUCGUAGUUCCUGCCGACCUCCAGGAGGGGGUCGCUCCCGUCGUAGUUCCUGUCGACCUCCAGGAGGGGGUCGCUCCCGUCCCGGCUCAGGCCGCACCUGCAUCGGUUCCUGGCGGCCCGGCUCAGGCCGCACCUGCAUCGGUUCCUGGCGGCCCGGCUCCGGCCGCACCUGCAUCGGUUCCUGGCGGCCCGGCUCCGGCCGCACCUGCAUCGGUUCCUGGCGGUCCGGCUCCGGCCGCACCUGCAUCGGUUCCUGGCGGUCCGGCUCCGGCCGCACCUGCAUCGGGUCCUGUCUCUCGUCGCGGUGGUCCAAGGAGGACGCCGCUGGUUCCUGUCUCUCGUCGCGGUGGUCCAAGGAGGACGCCGCUGGUUCCUGUCUCUCGUCGCGGUGGUCCAAGGAGGACGCCGCUGGUUCCUGUCUCUCGUCGCGGUGGUCCAAGGAGGACGCCGCUGGUUCCUGUCUCUCGUCGCGGUGGUCCAAGGAGGACGCCGCUGGUUCCUGGCUCUCGUCGCGGUGGUCCAAGGAGGACGCCGCUGGUUCCUGGCUCUCGUCGCGGUGGUCCAAGGAGGACGCCGCUGGUUCCUGCCUCGUCCUUGUCUCGGCCGCCGGACUGGUGGCCUCGCCCUCGGCGCCUCCUGCUGCCCGGAUGGCGCUGCCUCCUGCGGCGACGUCCGCCUCGACUCCUCAGCCCAUCGGAUCAGCGUCCGCCUGGAGGACGUUGCCAUUCGGGGUGGCCCCCGGGGACAUCGGUCCAGCCCAAGGGCACUAAGAGUGCCACCCUGGCUCAGCGGCUGCUGGGCAGGGUCUCGCCACGCCAUCACCCUCCGUGAGGGAAUCCCUGAACUUCAUGUUUUUCCUGGUCAUGGACCUUUGUAGUGUAUGUGGACUCUUGUUUUGGCCCUCCCCCGGUCCUCCCUCCACCCACCCUGCUCAUGUACCUUGAGGGGUAGGGAUUCGGUCCCUCCGCCUGGGACCACCCUCCGCCCGCCCUGGUUUGGGGGGGGGGGCUUCCGUGGGCGCCGUGGAAGGCGCCAUAGGGGGGGGGGUACUGUCAUGAUCUGUGUUUUUGUUUCUAGUUGUAUCAUGUUUCACGCCAUGUCCUGUGUAACACUACUUCCUGUUUUAUUUUGGUAGUCUCCUGGUUUCUGUUCCUGCUUUAGCUUUACUUCCGGUUUUUGUCUUGUCACAGCUGUCCCUGCUCCACCUGAUCGUUAUCCUCACCUGCACUGUAUCAGUUAAUUACUCAUCUGUGUAUUUAGUCACCUCCUGUUCCCGUAGUCACUUGCCAGAUUGUUGAGUUGAGAAUGUGUUGAGCGUCCCUAGUUUCCUGAGUUCCCUGAGUGUUCGUGUUCUCGUGUCUUAUUCCUGUUCGCACCGUGUAUCCUGCCCGACACUGGAUUAUCUACUGACCGUGAGUUUUUGCCUGUUCCCUGCCUGUACUUUUGCCGAGCCUUUUUGUGUUUGACCUGGACCGUAUGACCCUGCCUUGAGCAAUAAACCUUUUGUUGAUUAUAACCUUCGCCUCCGU
Molecule: long non-coding RNA, 5669 nt
Organism: Betta splendens (Siamese fighting fish)
Lineage: Eukaryota; Metazoa; Chordata; Actinopteri; Anabantiformes; Osphronemidae
Source: Ensembl